RNAcentral lists this unclassified non-coding RNA (378 nucleotides) under uncultured Chlamydiales bacterium. Its description in RNAcentral is "contains 16S-23S intergenic spacer region". Lineage: Bacteria; Pseudomonadati; Chlamydiota; Chlamydiia; Chlamydiales. The record is from RNAcentral.
UCCUAGUUAACCUAGGCAGUCUUGCCAGAGUCCCCGCCAUUACGCGUUGGCAACUGACAAUAAGGGUUGCGCUCGUUGCUGGACUUAACCAAACACCUCACGGCACGAGCUGACGACAGCCAUGCAGCACCUAUAUAGGACGCCUUGCGGCACAGAGCAUCUCUGCUCCUUUUCCCUACAUUUCGAGCCUGGGUAAGGUUCUUCGCGUUGCAUCGAAUUAAACCACAUGCUCCACUGCUUGUGCGGGCCCCCGUCAAUUCUUUUGAGUUUCACCCUUGCGAGCGUACUCCCCAGGCGGCAUACUUAACGCGUUAGCUCCGAUACGGAAAGGGUUGAGCCCCCCCACAUCUAGUAUGCAUCGUUUAAGGCUAGGACUAC